Molecule: microRNA, 22 nt
Filed under: Bombyx mori (domestic silkworm)
Lineage: Eukaryota; Metazoa; Arthropoda; Insecta; Lepidoptera; Bombycidae
Description: bmo-miR-283-3p
Gene: bmo-miR-283-3p
Source: miRBase by way of RNAcentral
CAGGCUAUCAGCUGGUAUACAG